This 1508-nucleotide long non-coding RNA is filed under the name Capra hircus (goat). Its description in RNAcentral is "lncRNA (ENSCHIG00000001254.1)". The record is from RNAcentral. Lineage: Eukaryota; Metazoa; Chordata; Mammalia; Artiodactyla; Bovidae.
UUUAAAUAUGGUAGUGUGUGACUUAAUCUUAAGAAUACCCCCUGUCGCAAUCCCCAGUGUUCUGUUUGAUUAUCAGGAUUUUUUUGUUGUUUUGGGCUUCCCAGGUGUCACAGUGGUAAGAAAUCUGCCUGACAAUGCAGGAGACAGAGGGGACACGGGCUCAAUUCCUGAGUCAGGAAGAUUCCCUGGAGUAGGAAACCAGUAUUUUUACCUGGAAAAUUCCAUGGACAGAGGAGUCUGGUGGGCUACGAGUCCAGGAGGUCACGAGUUGGACAUGACUGAACACAUUGUUUUGAAUGUAGGAUGACAUGCCUGCAAGACAAGACGGAAGCCAUGAGUAGACAGGCCAAGCAUGGAAAUUCUGAAUGCAUCCUCUGUUGUUUUUGUGUAAGUGGGAUUCUUCAUGGAACCGUCACAAUAUCACCCUUAAUUUCACUUAAAGGACUGUGCCCAUGUGUAUUUACGUGUGUGCCACUUCAUAGUGGAUGUGACAGAAGAGCAGCAGCCAGGCUGGUUAGGCUGCAAUCUGGAAAGUUGGAGGAAAAAACCCUAUGUUUUGCAGCUCUCCAAUCCAUGCUUCAGUGGGAAGAACAGCCUGUUUGCUGUUACAGACUGCUUGUCCUUGGCUCAUGCUGAUGGCAACGAGACGUUGAUUUUCAGGUUAAUUGGAAAGAGUUUCGUUUAUUUGAAUGGAAUCUUAUCAAAAUGCAUCCUGAAAGUACAUCCUGGGCCAAACCUCCCCUCUUUUGAGGUGAAGGUAAAAGAGAUGAUGUUUUCAGAAAUUUCCUUGAGUUAAAAACUAGACUGUAUAUUCACAAUUACAUCUUUGUUUGGAAAAAAGACUCAGUGCACAGUGACCUUGUAGGUCUAUCUUUGUGAGCAAAGAGUUUAUCCAGAAGAGCAAGGAAGGAAGCAAAGGAGGAAAGAAAGAAGAAAGAAAGGAUGAGAAGGAGAAUGACUGCAAGAAUGACGCUAAAGACGAAAUGUGGCAGCUGCAUUUCUAGAAGAUUCUAUCUCCUCUUAGGACUGGCCACCACUCCCACUCCAGACUCUGAAACGCCCUCUUGGUUCCGUGUGUUCUGUCUGCUUCUCUCCUCAUGCUGACUGCCAGGUUUGGAAAAUCACACCUUAGUUCCAAGUCAUGCUUCUUAUCCAGGUCCCCAGAUCAGCCCCCCUCUUCAUCUCCAGGUAGGUGCGUGGCAUCCGCAGCAGGUGGGUCCCACCGCAGUGUGGGAGCAGCCGUGUGACAUGGUUCAGUUAUGCGCUUACUCUCCUUCCACGAUACAAGUUCUUUAAGGUGGUCUGUCAGCUGCCAAAACUGUCGAGAGAAGAGCCAGGCAGUAUUGUCCCUACCCCGCCUCACAUGAAGAAAACAUAAUCUUGUCUCUCUUUACCCUGCCAAGUCUCGGUAUGUAUUUGGCACAUUUAAUAUGUUUACUAUCAGUUAUAACAUGAAUGAUUCUGGAUUUCCUACUUCACACACACACACAGCACAAAUACACCAAGAA